RNAcentral lists this transfer RNA (70 nucleotides) under Bos taurus (domestic cattle). It matches the Rfam family "tRNA". Rfam says of the family: Transfer RNA (tRNA) molecules are approximately 80 nucleotides in length. Their secondary structure includes four short double-helical elements and three loops (D, anti-codon, and T loops). Further hydrogen bonds mediate the characteristic L-shaped molecular structure. tRNAs have two regions of fundamental functional importance: the anti-codon, which is responsible for specific mRNA codon recognition, and the 3' end, to which the tRNAs corresponding amino acid is attached (by aminoacyl-tRNA synthetases). tRNAs cope with the degeneracy of the genetic code in two manners: having more than one tRNA (with a specific anti-codon) for a particular amino acid; and 'wobble' base-pairing, i.e. permitting non-standard base-pairing at the 3rd anti-codon position. RNAcentral also lists the same sequence under 5 other names. Lineage: Eukaryota; Metazoa; Chordata; Mammalia; Artiodactyla; Bovidae. The record is from Rfam by way of RNAcentral.
ACAGGUCUAGCUGACGGUAAAGUGUCUGCCUGCAAUGCAGGAGACCUGGGUUCGAUUCCUGGGUCAGGAA